GCCCAGACUCCUACGGGAGGCAGCAGUGAGGAAUAUUGGUCAAUGGGCGGGAGCCUGAACCAGCCAAGCCGCGUGAGGGAAGAAGGUACAGCGUAUCGUAAACCUCUUUUGUCAGGGAACAAAGGCGGGGACUAGUCCCCGGAUGAGGGUACCUGAAGAAAAAGCAUCGGCUAACUCCGUGCCAGCAGCCGCGGUAAUACGGAGGAUGCGAGCGUUAUCCGGAUUUAUUGGGUUUAAAGGGUGCGCAGGCGGCCCGGCAAGCCGGCGGUCAAAUCGCGGGGCUCGACCCCGCCCAGCCGUCGGAACUGCCGGGCUAGAGUGGGCGAGAAGUGCGCGGAAUGCGUGGUGUAGCGGUGAAAUGCAUAGAUAUCACGCAGAACUCCGAUUGCGAAGGCAGCAUGCCGGCUCCACACUGACGCUGAGGCACGAAAGCGUGGGUAUCGAACAGGAUUAGAUACCCUAGUAGCA
RNAcentral lists this ribosomal RNA (468 nucleotides) under uncultured bacterium. Its description in RNAcentral is "bacterial SSU rRNA". It matches the Rfam family "Bacterial small subunit ribosomal RNA", at positions 329 to 795 of the family's 1533-position model. The record is from RNAcentral.